Molecule: ribosomal RNA, 1189 nt
Filed under: uncultured eukaryote
Lineage: Eukaryota
Description: bacterial SSU rRNA
Rfam family: Eukaryotic small subunit ribosomal RNA
Source: RNAcentral
UCGGUAAUUCCAGCUCCAAUGGCGUAUAUUAAAGUUGUUGCAGUUAAAAUGCUCGUAGUCGGCUCUUCACCUUUGAGUAUCCAUUGUGCUAUUGCCUGUGGUGCAUAGAAGGAGUUAGAAGUUGUCACCUUUGGUGGCUGGCUUUUAUUGUUACUUUGAGUGAAUCGUAGUGCUUCGCACAGGCAUAUGCCAUACACGAUCUACCAUGGAAUAUCCAUAAUCUAAAUGCGUUUGUUUUGGUUUCGCCGACGCUUUUUAUACAUAUAUGAACGGCUGAGGGUAUUUAUAUUCAACUGUUAGAGGUGAAAUUCUUUGAUUAGUUGAGGAUAAGCUAUUGCGAAAGCAUCUGCCAGAGACGUUUUGGUUGAUCAAGAACGAAAGUUAGGUGAUCGAAGAUGAUUAGAUACCGUUGUAGUCCUAACUAUAAACGAUGUUGCCUGAAUGUAGGACAGGUAUUAACAUACUUCUUCUGGAUUCCAUGAGAAAUCGUAAGGUUUUGAAUUCUGGGGGGAGUAUAGUUGCAAGGCCGAAACUUAAAGGAAUUGACGGAAGGGCACCACAAAGCGCGGAGCUUGCGGCUUAAUUUGACUCAACACUGAGAAUCUUACUUGGAUAAGACAUAAAAGGGAUUGACGGAUUGAUUGCUCUUUCUUGAUUGUAUGGGUGGUGGUGCAUGGCCGUUCUUAGUUCGUGGAAUAAUUUGUCUGGUUAAUUCCGUUAACGAACGAGACUUUAACUCACUAAUUUGCAUCCUGUACCAUGUGUGCAUGUGCUAAUUAGAAGGACUGCAUAUUCCAAAUAUGAGGAAGCGUGAAGCAAUAACAGGUCUGUGAUGCCCUUAGAUAUCCAAGGCAGCACGCGUCCUACAUUGGUAUGCGAAACGUGUUUUUGCCGUCUGUCAUGACCGUGAAACCAUUAAUGCGUAUCAAACCAGGAAUUGUUCACUGUAAUGUUGUACAUGAACAAGGAGUGCUUAGUAAUCGCGUAUCAUCAGUGCGCGGUGACUAUGUCCCUGCCCUUUGUACACACCGUCCGUCGCAUCUAUUGAUCAGAGUGCAUCAUGAAUUGGGUGGAAUUGUUGUGUAGGAUGCAAAUCCUUUCACUAUCGGUGAAGCCUUGUGAAUGGUGCUCUCCAAAAACAGAUAAAGUCGUAGCACGGUUUUCGUAGGUGAACCUGCAGAAGGAUCAA